Molecule: ribosomal RNA, 438 nt
Filed under: Acidobacterium sp. Ellin408
Lineage: Bacteria; Pseudomonadati; Acidobacteriota; Terriglobia; Terriglobales; Acidobacteriaceae
Description: bacterial SSU rRNA
Rfam family: Bacterial small subunit ribosomal RNA
Source: RNAcentral
UGAUCAUGGCUCAGAAUCAACGCUGGCGGCGUGCCUAACACAUGCAAGUCGCACGAGAAAGGGUAGCAAUACCUGAGUAAAGUGGCGCACGGGUGAGUAACACGUGAAUAAUCUACCUCCGAGUGGGGAAUAACUGAGAGAAAUCUUAGCUAAUACCGCAUAACACUUACGAGUCAAAGCAGCAAUGCGCUUGGAGAGGAGUUCGCGGCAGAUUAGUUAGUUGGCGGGGUAAUGGCCCACCAAGACGAUGAUCUGUAUCCGGCCUGAGAGGGCGCACGGACACACUGGAACUGAAACACGGUCCAGACUCCUACGGGAGGCAGCAGUGGGGAAUUUUGCGCAAUGGGGGAAACCCUGACGCAGCAACGCCGCGUGGAGGAUGAAAUCCCUUGGGAUGUAAACUCCUUUCGAUAGGGAAGAUAAUGACGGUACCUAUAG